This 321-nucleotide ribosomal RNA is filed under the name Triticum aestivum (bread wheat). RNAcentral describes it as "partial small subunit ribosomal RNA". The record is from RNAcentral. Lineage: Eukaryota; Viridiplantae; Streptophyta; Magnoliopsida; Poales; Poaceae.
CUAUUUGCCGGUGAAGCAUCCGACACUGAUAGCACGGACCUCGAUGAGCCCGUAGAAUCCUCCAACACGGGAUCUAUCGACCUAGAUCCUUUCGACUAUGUCUACUCGAACAUCCCAGAUAGCACACACAUCCUGAAGCACGCGGCAAACUGCGAGCAUUGCAAGGCCAAGAAGUUCCAGUACGAGACCGCCGGCUUCUGUUGUAGGAACGGGGAGAUUGAGCUAGCUGAACCCGAGCCUAUCCCAGAGCUGAUGAGGUUAUGGUCAAGCGCGGAUGCAGACUCUCGGCAUUUCCGAGAGAGCAUUCAGUUCUUCAAUGGG